Molecule: ribosomal RNA, 463 nt
Filed under: uncultured bacterium
Lineage: Bacteria
Description: partial 16S ribosomal RNA
Rfam family: Bacterial small subunit ribosomal RNA
Source: RNAcentral
GACGAACGCUGGCGGCGUGCUUAACACAUGCAAGUCGAGCGGUAAGGCCCUUCGUGGUACACGAGCGGCGAACGGGCGGGUAACACGUGCGUAAUCUGCUCAUCACUUCGGGAUAACUCCGUGAAACCGGUGCUAAUACCGAAUAUGACCACUUCAGGCAUCUGAUGGUGGUGGAUAGUUCCGGCGGUGAUGGAUGAGCUCGCGGCCUAUGAGCUUGGUGGUUGGGUAGUGGGCUACCAAGGCUUCGACGGGUAGCCGGCCUGAGAGGGUGACCGGCCACACUGGGACUGAGACACGGACCAGACUGCAACGGGAGGCAGCAGGCGGGAAUAUUGUACAAUGGGCGAGCGCCUGAUCCAGAAGCGCCGCGUGUGGGAAGACGGCCUUCGGGUUGUAAACCUCUGUCAGCAGGGACGAAGCGGAAGUGACGGUACCUGCAGAAGAAGCACCGGCCAACUACGUG